This is a long non-coding RNA of Hibiscus syriacus, 230 nucleotides long. RefSeq lists it as uncharacterized. The record is from RefSeq and is a predicted model, not a curated record. NCBI's taxonomy places the organism in Eukaryota, Viridiplantae, Streptophyta, Magnoliopsida, Malvales, Malvaceae. The transcript has 3 exons.
GUUGAUCAACCCUGCUGAAACUUUUGGCAACAUAGUUAUCGAUUACCUAUAUGUUGAAUGCACCUCAGCAGCAAUUCAGGCACUAGCCUCAUUCAGGAAAUUAUAUCCUGAACAUAGAACAGAAGAAAUUCAAAAUUGUAUUGGUAGAGCUGUUGGGUUUAUCGAAAAGAUGCAGGCAGAAGAUGGCUCCUGGUAUGGAUCCUGGGGCAUCUGCUUCAGUUAUGCAGGAU